RNAcentral lists this ribosomal RNA (451 nucleotides) under uncultured bacterium. Its description in RNAcentral is "partial 16S ribosomal RNA". It matches the Rfam family "Bacterial small subunit ribosomal RNA", at positions 29 to 523 of the family's 1533-position model. The record is from RNAcentral.
AGCGAACGCUGGCGGCAGGCUUAACACAUGCAAGUCGAGCGGGCAUCUUCGGGUGUCAGCGGCGGACGGGUGAGUAACGCGUGGGAACGUGCCUUCUGGUUCGGAAUAACUCAGGGAAACUUGAGCUAAUACCGGAUACGCCCUUUUGGGGUAAGGUUUACUGCCGGAAGAUCGGCCCGCGUCUGAUUAGCUAGUUGGUGGGGUAAGGGCUUACCAAGGCGACGAUCAGUAGCUGGUCUGAGAGGAUGAUCAGCUGCACUGGGGCUGAGUCGAGGCCCAGACUCCUACGGGAGGCAGCAGUGGGGAAUAUUGGACAGUGGUGGCAACCUUGAUCCUGCCAUGCCGCGUGAGUGAUGAAGGCCUUAGGGUAGUAAAGCUCUUUUAUCCGGGACGAAAAUGACGGUACCGGAAGAAUAAGCCCCGGCUAACUUCGUGCCAGCCGCCGCAGUAA